GACGAACGCUGGCGGCGUGCUUAACACAUGCAAGUCGAACGGAAAGGCCCUGCUUUUGUGGGGUGCUCGAGUGGCGAACGGGUGAGUGACACGUGAGUAACCUGCCCUUGACUUUGGGAUAACUUCAGGAAACUGGGGCUAAUACCGGAUAGGAGCUCCUGCUGCAUGGUGGGGGUUGGAAAGUUUCGGCGGUUGGGGAUGGACUCGCGGCUUAUCAGCUUGUUGGUGGGGUAGUGGCUUACCAAGGCUGUGACGGGUAGCCGGCCUGAGAGGGUGACCGGCCACAUUGGGACUGAGAUACGGCCCAGACUCCUACGGGAGGCAGCAGUGGGGAAUAUUGCACAAUGGGCGGAAGCCUGAUGCAGCAACGCCGCGUGCGGGAUGACGGCCUUCGGGUUGUAAACCGCUUUCGCCUGUGACGAAGCGUGAGUGACGGUAAUGGGUAAAGAAGCACCGGCUAACUACGUG
This 468-nucleotide ribosomal RNA is filed under the name uncultured bacterium. Its description in RNAcentral is "partial 16S ribosomal RNA". It matches the Rfam family "Bacterial small subunit ribosomal RNA", at positions 28 to 507 of the family's 1533-position model. The record is from RNAcentral.